RNAcentral lists this transfer RNA (86 nucleotides) under Thermoplasmata archaeon. Its description in RNAcentral is "tRNA-Ser". It matches the Rfam family "tRNA". From Rfam's summary of the family: Transfer RNA (tRNA) molecules are approximately 80 nucleotides in length. Their secondary structure includes four short double-helical elements and three loops (D, anti-codon, and T loops). Further hydrogen bonds mediate the characteristic L-shaped molecular structure. tRNAs have two regions of fundamental functional importance: the anti-codon, which is responsible for specific mRNA codon recognition, and the 3' end, to which the tRNAs corresponding amino acid is attached (by aminoacyl-tRNA synthetases). tRNAs cope with the degeneracy of the genetic code in two manners: having more than one tRNA (with a specific anti-codon) for a particular amino acid; and 'wobble' base-pairing, i.e. permitting non-standard base-pairing at the 3rd anti-codon position. RNAcentral also lists the same sequence under 1 other name. Lineage: Archaea; Methanobacteriati; Thermoplasmatota; Thermoplasmata. The record is from RNAcentral.
GCUGAGGUAGCCUAGUCUGGCCAAGGCGCCGGCCUUGAGAGCCGGUGGCGGUUCCCGCCUCGGGAGUUCGAAUCUCCCCCUCAGCG